This 253-nucleotide ribosomal RNA is filed under the name uncultured bacterium. RNAcentral's name for it is "partial 16S ribosomal RNA". It matches the Rfam family "Bacterial small subunit ribosomal RNA", at positions 524 to 776 of the family's 1533-position model. The record is from RNAcentral.
UACGGGGGGAGCAAGCGUUGUUCGGAUUUACUGGGCGUAAAGGGCGCGUAGGCGGCGUGACAAGUCGCUUGUGAAAUCUCCGGGCUUAACCCGGAGCGGUCAAGUGAUACUGUCGUGCUAGAGUGCGGAAGGGGCUACUGGAAUUCUCGGUGUAGCGGUGAAAUGCGUAGAUAUCGAGAGGAACACCUGCGGCGAAGGCGGCUCACUGGACCGGUACUGACGCUGAUGCGCGAAAGCGUGGGGAGCAAACGGG